RNAcentral lists this small RNA (148 nucleotides) under Callithrix jacchus (white-tufted-ear marmoset). RNAcentral's name for it is "Metazoan signal recognition particle RNA (ENSCJAG00000072802.1)". The record is from Rfam by way of RNAcentral. Lineage: Eukaryota; Metazoa; Chordata; Mammalia; Primates; Cebidae.
GCCAGGCAUGGUGCUGCAUGCCUGUAGUCUCAGCUACUCAGGAAGCUGAGGCAGGAGAAUGGCUUGAACCCAGGAGGUUGGGGCUGCAGUGAGCCAUGAUUUUGCCACUGUACUCCAGCCUGGGUGACAGAGUGAGCUCCUGUCUCCA